GUAAUAUAAUAUAGUUAUUAUUAUAGUAGGGGACUGGUCUAUGGGUAAUAUAAUAUAGUUAUUAUUAUAGUAGGAGACUGGUCUAUGGGUAAUAUAAUAUAGUUAUUAUUAUAGUAGGAGACUGGUCUAUGGGUAAUAUAAUAUAGUUAUUAUUAUAGUAGGAGACUGGUCUAUGGGUAAUAUAAUAUAGUUAUUAUUAUAGUAGGAGACUGGUCUAUGGGUAAUAUAAUAUAGUUAUUAUUAUAGUAGGGGACUGGUCUAUGGGUAAUAUAAUAUAGUUAUUAUUAUAGUAGGAGACUGGUCUAUGGGUAAUAUAAUAUAGUUAUUAUUAUAGUAGGAGACUGGUCUAUGGGUAAUAUAAUAUAGUUAUUAUUAUAGUAGGAGACUGGUCUAUGGGUAAUAUAAUAUAGUUAUUAUUAUAGUAGGAGACUGGUCUAUGGGUAAUAUAAUAUAGUUAUUAUUAUAGUAGGAGACUGGUCUAAAGGUCUAUGGGUAAUAUAAUAUUGCACAAGUACGCUUUUAGUCAUGUAGUCUGUGGACACCAGCUGGUCCAACAUCUCAUUCCAAAAUCAUGGGCAUUAAUAUUGAGUUGGUCCCCACCCUUUGCUGCUAUAACAGCCUGUACUGUUCUGGGAAGCCAUUAAUAUUGAGUUGGACCCCCUUUGCUGCUAUAACAGCCUGUACUGUUCUGGGAAGCCAUUAAUAUGGAGUUGGACCCCCCUUUGCUGCUAUAACAGCAUCCACUCUUCUGGGAAGCCAUUAAUAUGGAGUUGGACCCCCGCUUUGCUGCUAUAACAGCAUCCACUCUUCUGGGAAUUGCUUUCCACUAGAUGUAGGAACAUUGCUGCUAUAAUUUUUAUUUUAUUUCACCUUUAUUUAACCAGGUAGGCAUGUUGAGAACAAGUUCUCAUUUACAAUUGCGACCUGGCCAAGUUAAAGCAAAGCAGUUCGACAGAUACAACGACACAGAGUUACUAAGUUACUAUUAAAAAUGAUAGCCUCCACUCUUCUGGGAAGGCUUUCCACUAGAUGUAGGAACAUUGCUGCUAUAACGGCCCCCACUCUUCUGGGAAGGCUUUCCACUAGAUGUAGGAACAUUGCUGCUAUAACAGCCUCCACUCUUCUGGGAAGGCUUUCCACUAGAUGUUGGAACAUUGCUGCUAUAACAGCCUCCACUCUUCAGGGAAGGCUUUCCACUAGAUGUUGGAACAUUGCUGCUAUAAAAGCCUCCACUCUUCUGGGAAGGCUUUCCACUAGAUGUUGGAACAUUGCUGCAGGGACUUGCUUCCAUUCAGCCACGAGCAUUAGUGAGGUCGGGCACUGAUGUUGGGCGAUUAGGCCUGGCUCGCAGUCUGCAUUCCAAUUCAUCCUAAAGGUUUUCGACUGGGUUCUUUCACACCGAUCUCGACAAACCAUUUCUGUAUGGACCUUGCUUUGUGCACGGGGGCAUUGUCAUGCUGAAACAGGAAAGGACCUUCUCCAACCUGUUGCCACGAAGUUGGAAGCACAGAAUUGUCUAGAAUGUCAUUGUAUGUUGUAGCAUUAACAUUUCCCUUCACUGGAACUAAGGGGCCCAGCCUGAACCUCCUCCCAACAAACUUUACAGUUGACUCUAUGCAUUCCAGCAGGUAAUGUUCUCCUGGCAUCCGCUGAACCCAGAUUCAUCUGUCGGGCUGCCAGAUGGUGAAGCGUGAUUCAUUACUCCAGAGAACACAUUUCCACUGCUCUCAUGGCAGCGAGCUUUACACCACUGAAGCCGACGCUUGGCAUUACGCAUGGUGAUCUUAGGCUUGUGUGCGGCUGCUCAGCCAUGGUAACCCAUUUCAUGAAGUUCCCGACAAACAGUUCUUAUGCUGACGUUGCUUCCAGAGGCAGUUUCUAACUCGGUAGUGAGUCUGGCAACUGAGGACAGACGAGUUUUAUGUGCUACGCACUUCAUCACUGGGCGGUCCCGUUCUGUGAGCUUGUGUGGUCUACCACUUUGCUGCUGAGCCGUUGUUGCUCCUUGACGUUUUUACUUCACAAUAACAACAUUUACGUUUUGACCGGGGCAGCUCUAUUAGGGCAGAAAUAUGAUGAACUGAUUUGUUGGAAAAGUGACACCCUAUUACGGUGCCACGUUGAAAGUCACUGAACUCUUCAGUAAGGCCAUUCUACUGCCAAUGUUUGUCUAUGGAGAUUGCAUGGCCGUGUGCUCGAUAUUAUACACCUGUCAGCAAUGGGUGUGGCUGAAAUAGUAUGUAUGUGUGUGUGUGUCUCAUGACGUUUUGUUGUCGUGCCAUGUUGUGUUGUUGUGUUGUGUUGUGAUGUUGUUGUGCUGUGUUGUGGUGGUGUUGUGUUGUGGUGGUGUUGUGUUGUGGUGGUGUUGUGGUGUUGUGUUGUUGUGAUGUGUUGUGGUGGUGUGUUGUUGUGUUGUGUUGUGGUGGUGUUGUGGUGUUGUGUUGUUGUGAUGUGUUGUGGUGGUGUUGUGUUGUUGUGUUGUUGUGUUGUGGUGGUGUUGUUGUGAUGUGUUGUUGUUGUGUUGUGGUGGUGUUGUUGUGUUGUGGUGGUGUUGUUGUGUUGUGUUGUGGUGUUGUGUUGUUGUGUUGUGUUGUGGUGGUGUUGUGGUGGUGUUGUUGUGUUGUGUUGUUGUGUUGUGUUGUUGUGGUGGUGUUGUUGUGUUGUGUUGUUGUGGUGGUGUUGUGGUGUUGUGGUGUUGUGUUGUGAUGUGUUGUUUUGUUGUGAUGUGUUGUGGUGGUGGUGUUGUGUUGUUGUGGUGGUGUGUUGUGUUGUGUUGUGUUGUGUUGUUGUGAUGUGUUGUGAUGUGGUGUUGUUGUGGUGGUGUUGUGUUGUUGUGAUGUGUUGUGUUGUGGUGGUGUUGUUGUGUUGUGAUGUGUUGUUGUGUUGUUGUACUGUGUUGUGGUGGUGUUGUGUUGUUGUGUUGUGUUGUGAUGUGUUGUUGUGUUGUGUUGUGAUGUGAUGUGUUGUGUUGUUGUGUUGUUGUGUUGUUGUGAUGUGUUGUUGUGGGCAGGUGCAGUAUGUACUAUCCUAUGUACUUUAC
This is a long non-coding RNA of Oncorhynchus keta (chum salmon), 3040 nucleotides long. RefSeq lists it as uncharacterized. Lineage: Eukaryota; Metazoa; Chordata; Actinopteri; Salmoniformes; Salmonidae. The transcript is spliced from 3 exons. The record is from RefSeq and is a predicted model, not a curated record.